This 492-nucleotide ribosomal RNA is filed under the name uncultured bacterium. RNAcentral describes it as "partial 16S ribosomal RNA". It matches the Rfam family "Bacterial small subunit ribosomal RNA", at positions 28 to 507 of the family's 1533-position model. The record is from RNAcentral.
GAUGAACGCUGGCUACAGGCUUAACACAUGCAAGUCGAGGGGAAACGCCAUCGAAAGCUUGCUUUUGAUGGGCGUCGACCGGCGCACGGGUGAGUAACGCGUAUCCAACCUGCCCAUCACUUGGGAAUAACCUUGCGAAAGUAAGACUAAUACCCAAUGAUAUCCCACGAAGGCAUCGGAAUGGGAUUAAAGAUUUAUCGGUGAUGGAUGGGGAUGCGUCUGAUUAGCUUGUUGGCGGGGUAACGGCCCACCAAGGCAACGAUCAGUAGGGGUUCUGAGAGGAAGGUCCCCCACAUUGGAACUGAGACACGGUCCAAACUCCUACGGGAGGCAGCAGUGAGGAAUAUUGGUCAAUGGGCGAGAGCCUGAACCAGCCAAGUAGCGUGCAGGAAGACGGCCCUAUGGGUUGUAAACUGCUUUUAUAAGGGAAUAAAGUGGGUCACGUGUGACUUUUUGCAUGUACCUUAUGAAUAAGGACCGGCUAAUUCCGUG